GACGAACGCUGGCGGCGUGCCUAAUACAUGCAAGUCGAGCGGACAGAAGGGAGCUUGCUCCCGGAAGUCAGCGGCGGACGGGUGAGUAACACGUGGGCAACCUGCCUGUAAGACUGGGAUAACUUCGGGAAACCGGAGCUAAUACCGGAUAGGUUCUUCCUCCGCAUGGGGGAAGAUGGAAAGACGGUCUCGGCUGUCACUUACAGAUGGGCCCGCGGCGCAUUAGCUAGUUGGUGGGGUAAUGGCUCACCAAGGCGACGAUGCGUAGCCGACCUGGGAGGGUGAUUGGCCACACUGGGACUGAGACACGGCCCAGACUCCUACGGGAGGCAGCAGUAGGGAAUCUUCCGCAAUGGACGAAAGUCUGACGGAGCAACGCCGCGUGAGCGAAGAAGGCCUUCGGGUCGUAAAGCUCUGUUGUUAGGGAAGAACAAGUGCCAGAGUAACUGCUGGCACCUUGACGGUACCUGACCAGAAAGCCACGGCUAACUACGUGCCAGCCGCCGCAGUAA
RNAcentral lists this ribosomal RNA (512 nucleotides) under uncultured bacterium. RNAcentral describes it as "partial 16S ribosomal RNA". It matches the Rfam family "Bacterial small subunit ribosomal RNA", at positions 28 to 523 of the family's 1533-position model. The record is from RNAcentral.